This 501-nucleotide ribosomal RNA is filed under the name uncultured bacterium. Its description in RNAcentral is "partial 16S ribosomal RNA". It matches the Rfam family "Bacterial small subunit ribosomal RNA", at positions 28 to 523 of the family's 1533-position model. The record is from RNAcentral.
GAUGAACGCUAGCGGCAGGCCUAACACAUGCAAGUCGAGGGGCAGCACAGAAACAGCAAUGUUUUGGUGGCGACCGGCGGACGGGUGCGUAACGCGUAUGCAACCUGCCUUUAACAGGGGGAUAACGGAGAGAAAUUUCCACUAAUACCCCAUAACAUCGAUCAAGGCAUCUUGAUUGGUUGAAAACUCCGGAGGUUAAAGAUGGCAUGCGUUGUAUUAGGUGGUUGGUGAGGUAAUGGCUCACCAAGCCUACGAUACAUAGGGGGACUGAGAGGUUAGCCCCCCACACGGGUACUGAGACACGGACCAGACUCCUACGGGAGGCAGCAGUGAGGAAUAUUGGUCAAUGGGGGCAACCCUGAACCAGCCAUGCCGCGUGCAGGAAGACGGCUCUAUGAGUUGUAAACUGCUUUUAAACAGGGAUAAAGCACAGUAUGUAUACUGUGUUGAAGGUACUGUAAGAAUAAGGAUCGGCUAACUCCGUGCCAGCCGCCGCUGUAA